This 1211-nucleotide long non-coding RNA is filed under the name Sus scrofa (pig). Its description in RNAcentral is "lncRNA (ENSSSCG00070009934.1)". The record is from RNAcentral. Lineage: Eukaryota; Metazoa; Chordata; Mammalia; Artiodactyla; Suidae.
CCCCUGUGCCUUGGGCAGCCUGGCCCCUUGCUGAGGCGUGCUUGCGCGUGUCCGUUGUCGCCCUCACCCAGCUGCUGCGGCGGAGAGACGGAGGCCAGCGCGGGGAGCGGAAGCCGGAGCCUGUCGGGAGCGACCCCGGGAAGGCCAGUCCCUCCUGCCGGUGGGAGGCGUGUUGGCGUGCGGCCGGUGGCGGGAUCGAUGGCCACCUGGUAGGCGAUGCUGCUGCGGCGGAGAGACGGAGGCCAGCGCGGGGAGCGGAAGCCGGAGCCUGUCGGGAGCGACCCCGGGAAGGCCAGUCCCUCCUGCCGGUGGGAGGCGUGUUGGCGUGCGGCCGGUGGCGGGAUCGAUGGCCACCUGGUAGGCGAUGAGUCCUUGGUGGUCAUCGAGAACCCUGGAGCCCCUGCGGCAUUUCCCAGAGACGUGGAGGCGGUGGGGCGCCAGGUGGCCCUGGGCGGUGCCGAGUCGGCCGCGGACUGGGGUCGAGAGAAGUGCAGGAGGGCCAGAGGUCCUGGGCCAGUGUGCGCAGAGCACCGUGAGGGGGAGUGUUGGGUGCCCGGGGCGGCAGUGCCUUCAGGGCGGCCUGGGCUAUGAUGUGGGAUAUCCUCAGAGAUUUGGGCGGCGCGUGGAAGGCAGGACGGAGGGGUCCCGGGCACGUGAAUGGGAGCUGGGUGCCUGUGCCCUGGCCGGUCAUGGGUGCCGGCGGGGCAUAGAAGUGUGAGCCCGCGGCCAGCUCCCGGGGCCGCUAAGGUGUCCACACACGGGGCUGGGCAUUGAGGCCGUGCGGCGCCCCUGCCCUGGCUGAGGCCGUGUUCCCGGGGAGGGAGGACAGGGAGUUGCGCAGUGGGAGGCAGUGUGAGGUUGAUACCCAGCAGAGCUAGCCACGCCUGCGGACUGGAGCCCAGCCGAGCUGGUGCCGGGCGGGAGCUGGUGGCAAGGAGGGAGUCUGCUGUGGAGGAAAGGGGGCAGGUGGCGGCGGAAGGGGCGUGAGUUUCGGUGCGAGGGUCCCGCUGGGCCCAGGGUCUAGUGCGUCUCCCGUGGAGAUGCUGGUGCUGGAGUAGGGAGGCCUGGGUGUGCAUGGGUGUGGCACGCAAAGGAGAGGGUCCAUGGGCCCGGCGGGCCUUCCGGUGCUGGCGGCGGGGCUGUGGCGUGUGCCUUGCGUGGGGCCCGAGCGCCCAACUGGUGGCAGGCUCCGGGCGCCCGGCGGCAGGCGG